UAAAUGGGACCUAAUCUGAUGACGGCAAAACGAGGGGGUACCAAAUGCGCAAUUAACUCAAAUCAACUAAGUGCGCGGAUCCUCCCCAAGUCGGGUCGGUUCACGCGCGGGUUCCUCCAUGCCUUGAACGGCACCGUUUUGAAGCCAUUGAAAUUGGCCCAAAACGACGCCAUCUGAUUGACGUACAAAAGCUAGCAAAUCAGGUAAAAAAAACCUAAGUAUCUCUAGAUGCUCUCAACCUCUUCAUCCGAAUGCCGAUUCCGGUGAAAAGAAGGCAAUUGUGGUAGCAACGGACAAGUUUCAAGUUCGAUUGUACGGAGGAGAACGCUUGUGGGGAUGAUGUGGAUGAGGCUCGGAGGCUCUGCGGAAUCGCUCAUGGGAGCCUGACUCCCUGGCAUUGUUCUGGCACGUUCUAGAAGCUUCUGGUGCGUGUGAACUUGGUGGCUUAGGGUUUUUUGAGUGUUUUUUUGUUUUGGGUCAGGAUUUGGGUUAGGGGUUUAUUUUAUUUUGGGCUAAAUAAUUGGGCUUGUAACAGGGACAUUGGACCUAAUUAUUUUAGUUUUAUUUUGGUUUUGGUUCUGGUGUAAGCCCGAGCAGAUUUGGGCCUAUACAGAACUGAUUAAACUAUAAUUUUUUAUUCAAUCAAGUGAUCUGAUCAAAUUCUGGCAA
Molecule: long non-coding RNA, 669 nt
Organism: Gossypium arboreum
Lineage: Eukaryota; Viridiplantae; Streptophyta; Magnoliopsida; Malvales; Malvaceae
Exons: 2
Source: RefSeq, a predicted model, not a curated record